Molecule: ribosomal RNA, 498 nt
Filed under: uncultured bacterium
Lineage: Bacteria
Description: partial 16S ribosomal RNA
Rfam family: Bacterial small subunit ribosomal RNA
Source: RNAcentral
AUUGAACGCUGGCGGCAUGCCUUACACAUGCAAGUCGAACGGUAACAGGUCUUCGGAUGCUGACGAGUGGCGAACGGGUGAGUAAUACAUCGGAACGUGCCUAGUAGUGGGGGAUAACUACUCGAAAGAGUGGCUAAUACCGCAUGAGAUCUACGGAUGAAAGCAGGGGAUCGCAAGACCUUGUGCUACUAGAGCGGCCGAUGGCAGAUUAGGUAGUUGGUGGGAUAAAAGCUUACCAAGCCGACGAUCUGUAGCUGGUCUGAGAGGACGAUCAGCCACACUGGGAGGGGGACACGGCCCAGAGUCCUACGGGAGGCAGCAGUGGGGAAUUUUGGACAAUGGGCGAAAGCCUGAUCCAGCAAUGCCGCGUGCAGGAUGAAGGCCUUCGGGUUGUAAACUGCUUUUGUACGGAACGAAAAGCCCCGGGUUAAUACCCUGGGGUCAUGACGGUACCGUAAGAAUAAGCACCGGCUAACUACGUGCCAGCCGCCGCAGUAA